RNAcentral lists this ribosomal RNA (273 nucleotides) under uncultured bacterium. RNAcentral's name for it is "partial 16S ribosomal RNA". It matches the Rfam family "Bacterial small subunit ribosomal RNA", at positions 523 to 796 of the family's 1533-position model. The record is from RNAcentral.
AUACGUAGGGUGCAAGCGUUAAUCGGAAUUACAGGGCGUAAAGCGUGCGCAGGCGGUUAUGUAAGACAGAUGUGAAAUCCCCGGGCUCAACCUGGGAACUGCAUUUGUGACUGCAUGGCUAGAGUACGGUAGAGGGGGAUGGAAUUCCGCGUGUGGCAGUGAAAUGCGUAGAUAUGCGGAGGAACACCGAUGGCGAAGGCAAUCCCCUGGACCUGUACUGACGCUCAUGCACGAAAGCGUGGGGAGCAAACAGGAUUAGAAACCCUGUAGUCC